GACGAACGCUGGCGGCGUGCCUAAUACAUGCAAGUUGAGCGAUGAAGAUUGGUGCUUGCACCCAUUUGAAGAGCAGCGAACGGGUGAGUAACGCGUGGGGAAUCUGCCUUUGAGCGGGGGACAACAUUUGGAAACGAAUGCUAAUACCGCAUAACAACUUUAAACAUAAGUUUUAAGUUUGAAAGAUGCAAUUGCAUCACUCAAAGAUGAUCCCGCGUUGUAUUAGCUAGUUGGUGAGGUAAAGGCUCACCAAGGCGAUGAUACAUAGCCGACCUGAGAGGGUGAUCGGCCACAUUGGGACUGAGACACGGCCCAAACUCCUACGGGAGGCAGCAGUAGGGAAUCUUCGGCAAUGGACGAAAGUCUGACCGAGCAACGCUGCGUGAGUGAAGAAGGUUUUCGGAUCGUAAAACUCUGUUGGUAGAGAAGAACGUUGGUGAGAGUGGAAAGCUCAUCAAGUGACGGUAACUACCCAGAAAGGGACGGCUAACUACGUG
This 497-nucleotide ribosomal RNA is filed under the name uncultured bacterium. RNAcentral describes it as "partial 16S ribosomal RNA". It matches the Rfam family "Bacterial small subunit ribosomal RNA", at positions 28 to 507 of the family's 1533-position model. The record is from RNAcentral.